CCUCCCCCACCCGAGCUCAGGAAGGGGAGAGGCGGAGCGGAGGCAGGGCGGGGUACCCGCGCACCGGACGGGACGCCGGGGGAAGGAAUCCUGCCGGCCUUCGGAGUCUGGCCUCCAGAAGGGCCCUGCCUUUGCACUUGCAACAACCUGACUCAGGAGUCCCCAUGAUUCUGCCAGAUGAAUAGAAUGGUGUCUCCUCCAGGUU
This is a long non-coding RNA of Mus musculus (house mouse), 205 nucleotides long. RefSeq annotates it as predicted gene 20652. The record is from RefSeq and is a predicted model, not a curated record. The transcript has 2 exons. NCBI's taxonomy places the organism in Eukaryota, Metazoa, Chordata, Mammalia, Rodentia, Muridae.